ACGUAACACAUUCUUUCUUCAUCUCUCUUCAUCGAUUUUCACACAACACAGCACAGGAAAAAAUCAAAAUCCCCAAGUCACUAAAUCCUUAUUCUCCUUCUCUCAGCCAUCCACCCAAACCCAAAAUAAACCAACUCUCUCUCAGGUUAGACAGUUUCCAAGACUUCUUAACACUCUUUUUGAUACUUUACUUCCUCAAAUCAACAAACAAACCAAUUCCCUUUUUAUUUUUUUUUGUCAAUUACAUUCGCACAUAUAUACCAUGCACCGUUAACACAAGCAAGCAAUCUGUUGAAAGAUACAGACACCCUUUUGUACUCUUUUUUCUGGGUUUGCAAUGUUGAACUAAUAAAUGAAGGGAGAGGAUCAGGCGAGGUAUUUGUCCGGGAUUUCUUUAUCUGACCUGCCUAAAUGGCAACAGUUUCUUAUUUGCUCUUCCGGGUUCUUCUUUGGUUAUCUCAUUAAUGGCAUCUGCGAGGAAUAUGUGUAUAAUCAGCUCCAGUUCAGGUUCUUAUGGGUUGACUAAGGGGUCCCUGACCUUUCUUAACUAUCCAGCUCAAAUCAUGUUCAAAUCCACCAAGGUAAAUUUAGUUCUUAUGAAUCUUAUCUAACUCUUGUCAUAUUAAGUUGGAUGUGAAAGGUCUUGUUUUUUUAAAAUCUCUUGUACAUGACACACCAGCAGAUUGUUUGUUUUAAGUUUGUUAAUUAUUAGUUAAUAAAAAGUUAUUUAAAUUAUGUAUGAAUUUUUAUUUGAACCAUGUAUUUUAAGAUGCUUGAACUAUGUAUGAAUUUUUAUUUGAAGGCU
Molecule: long non-coding RNA, 805 nt
Organism: Populus nigra (black poplar)
Lineage: Eukaryota; Viridiplantae; Streptophyta; Magnoliopsida; Malpighiales; Salicaceae
Exons: 3
Source: RefSeq, a predicted model, not a curated record